RNAcentral lists this ribosomal RNA (473 nucleotides) under uncultured bacterium. RNAcentral's name for it is "bacterial SSU rRNA". It matches the Rfam family "Bacterial small subunit ribosomal RNA", at positions 355 to 825 of the family's 1533-position model. The record is from RNAcentral.
UGAGGAAUAUUGGACAAUGGGCGCAAGCCUGAUCCAGCCAUGCCGCGUGCAGGAUGAAGGCCUUCGGGUUGUAAACUGCUUUUUGUACGGAACGAAAAGACUCUGGUUAAUACCUGGGGUCCAUGACGGUACCGUAAGAAUAAGCACCGGCUAACUACGUGCCAGCAGCCGCGGUAAUACGUAGGGUGCGAGCGUUAAUCGGAAUUACUGGGCGUAAGGCGUGCGCAGGCGGUUAUAUAAGACAGAUGUGAAAUCCCCGGGCUCAACCUGGGAACUGCAUUUGUGACUGUAUAGCUAGAGUACGGCAGAGGGGGAUGGAAUUCCGCGUGUAGCAGUGAAAUGCGUAGAUAUGCGGAGGAACACCGAUGGCGAAGGCAAUCCCCUGGGCCUGUACUGACGCUCAUGCACGAAAGCGUGGGGAGCAAACAGGAUUAGAUACCCACGUAGUCCCUGAGCGGGCUGGCAAGGCGCAU